This 465-nucleotide ribosomal RNA is filed under the name uncultured bacterium. Its description in RNAcentral is "bacterial SSU rRNA". It matches the Rfam family "Bacterial small subunit ribosomal RNA", at positions 28 to 490 of the family's 1533-position model. The record is from RNAcentral.
GAUGAACGCUGGCGGCGUGCCUAAUACAUGCAAGUCGAACGCUUCACUUCGGUGAAGAGUGGCGAACGGGUAAGUAAUACAUAAGUAACCUGGCAUCUACAGGGGGAUAACUGAUGGAAACGUCAGCUAAGACCGCAUAGGUGUAGAGAUCGCAUGAACUCUAUAUGAAAAGUGCUACGGGACUGGUAGAUGAUGGACUUAUGGCGCAUUAGCUUGUUGGUAGGGUAACGGCCUACCAAGGCGACGAUGCGUAGCCGACCUGAGAGGGUGACCGGCCACACUGGGACUGAGACACGGCCCAGACUCCUACGGGAGGCAGCAGUAGGGAAUUUUCGGCAAUGGGGGAAACCCUGACCGAGCAACGCCGCGUGAAGGAAGAAGUAAUUCGUUAUGUAAACUUCUGUCAUAGAGGAAGAACGGUGGAUAUAGGGAAUGAUAUCCAAGUGACGGUACUCUAUAAGAAAG